This 497-nucleotide ribosomal RNA is filed under the name uncultured bacterium. Its description in RNAcentral is "partial 16S ribosomal RNA". It matches the Rfam family "Bacterial small subunit ribosomal RNA", at positions 28 to 507 of the family's 1533-position model. The record is from RNAcentral.
GAUGAACGCUGGCGGCGUGCCUAAUACAUGCAAGUCGAGCGAACAGACGAGGAGCUUGCUCCUCUGACGUUAGCGGCGGACGGGUGAGUAACACGUGGAUAACCUACCUAUAAGACUGGGAUAACUUCGGGAAACCGGAGCUAAUACCGGAUAAUAUAUUGAACCGCAUGGUUCAAUAGUGAAAGACGGUUUUGCUGUCACUUAUAGAUGGAUCCGCGCCGCAUUAGCUAGUUGGUAAGGUAACGGCUUACCAAGGCAACGAUGCGUAGCCGACCUGAGAGGGUAAUCGGCCACACUGGAACUGAGACACGGUCCAGACUCCUACGGGAGGCAGCAGUAGGGAAUCUUCCGCAAUGGGCGAAAGCCUGACGGAGCAACGCCGCGUGAGUGAUGAAGGUCUUCGGAUCGUAAAACUCUGUUAUUAGGGAAGAACAAAUGUGUAAGUAACUAUGCACGUCUUGACGGUACCUAAUCAGAAAGCCACGGCUAACUACGUG